This 323-nucleotide unclassified non-coding RNA is filed under the name Hevea brasiliensis (rubber tree). The record is from RNAcentral. Lineage: Eukaryota; Viridiplantae; Streptophyta; Magnoliopsida; Malpighiales; Euphorbiaceae.
AACUUCUUGGGAAAAAGCUGCCCUUAGUGAGGCAAUCUCAGCUUCUGUCCUGUGACCCUCUUCGCCCCAGUCAAGCAGCUUAACAGCAACAUCGUGGCCAUCGUAGAUGCCACGGUGAACAGUGCCGAAGGUACCACGUGCAAUGACACUUUUGAUGAUGAGCUUAGAAGGGUCGAUCUCCCAUUCCUGCCUGUCCUUCUUGAACGUAGCUGCACUAGUCUUGGUGCCGUCGGCGGCAGCCGUAGUCAGUGGUGCGAGAUCAUCAUCAGGUCUCUUGUUCUGGUCCAUGGUCCAUACCUUAUUGAGAUGCCUCUCGAGUUGCU